RNAcentral lists this ribosomal RNA (502 nucleotides) under uncultured bacterium. RNAcentral describes it as "bacterial SSU rRNA". It matches the Rfam family "Bacterial small subunit ribosomal RNA", at positions 8 to 507 of the family's 1533-position model. The record is from RNAcentral.
AGAGUUUGAUCCUGGCUCAGAUUGAACGCUGGCGGCAUGCUUUACACAUGCAAGUCGAACGGCAGCGCGGGGCAACCUGGCGGCGAGUGGCGAACGGGUGAGUAAUAUAUCGGAACGUACCCAGAAGUGGGGGAUAACGUAGCGAAAGUUACGCUAAUACCGCAUACGAUCUACGGAUGAAAGUGGGGGACCUUCGGGCCUCAUGCUUUUGGAGCGGCCGAUAUCUGAUUAGCUAGUUGGUGAGGUAAAGGCUCACCAAGGCGACGAUCAGUAGCUGGUCUGAGAGGACGACCAGCCACACUGGGACUGAGACACGGCCCAGACUCCUACGGGAGGCAGCAGUGGGGAAUUUUGGACAAUGGGGGCAACCCUGAUCCAGCAAUGCCGCGUGAGUGAAGAAGGCCUUCGGGUUGUAAAGCUCUUUUGUCAGGGAAGAAACGGUGAGGGCUAAUAUCCCUUGCUAAUGACGGUACCUGAAGAAUAAGCACCGGCUAACUACGUG